RNAcentral lists this transfer RNA (87 nucleotides) under Salmonella enterica subsp. enterica serovar Tennessee. RNAcentral describes it as "tRNA-Leu". The stretch from base 4 to 78 matches the Rfam family "tRNA", at positions 5 to 66 of the family's 71-position model. Rfam says of the family: Transfer RNA (tRNA) molecules are approximately 80 nucleotides in length. The record is from RNAcentral. Lineage: Bacteria; Pseudomonadati; Pseudomonadota; Gammaproteobacteria; Enterobacterales; Enterobacteriaceae.
CGAAGGUGGCGGAAUUGGUAGACGCGCUAGCUUCAGGUGUUAGUGUCCUUACGGACGUGGGGGUUCAAGUCCCCCCCUCGUCGACCA